GAAAUGAAAGCCCGGAAACCCCGGAACUAGAACUGGUAUCUCUUCAACUACCUGUGAAAACUGAUGUGAUGAAAAGGGGAAUUUGAAGGAGCCAUUCCAGAAGACAGGGCGAAAACUGAAGUGCAAUCAGGGCCAAGAAAAACAGAAAUAGCAGGACCUGGAGUUGCAUAGGUUGAAUAGUUGAAUAGGCUGCUCUCCUCAGCUGGCAGGAAACCUGGCAGCCUCCUGGUGCCCAAGGACUGAAAACCUUAGAAGCACCUGGAGUUGGCAGCCUUGGCAUGGUCAGGUUGGCACCUCUGGAGGUGCCCAGGCUUCCCUGGCAGCAUUGUGAGCAGUGGAUGGUGUUGAAGGGCAGCCAGAGGAGGAAUGGAACACAUGCUCCUUGCUAACCACACGGACAAGGCCACGUUCACAGGUACACAAAGGCAACGCAGUUGCUCAGGUGCUUCGGUAUCACAGCCAAGACCCCUUCGGGGGAAGCUAGUCGGAUACUGGGACCCACAUUCCAGACUACUGAGCCGCGGUCGCGCCCUCGGCUCCGUUUCUGCUCCCUCCACCCCACGAGGACGGGGGUGGAAGGCCACCUUCGAUGGGUGCAUCCUCCACGAUGACCUGCUAACAAAGGUGCAUGGAUUUCAGAGUCUGAUUGGCCUACAACAGCAUUUGGCUUGUGGAGACAGUGGUUCCCUGAUGAAAAACUGCCAUGAUGUAAGGAAGAGCCUGUCAGAGCGAGGCUGGGGUGCUGCGUGUUGGGGAGGUGGAGGUGUGGCUUCCCGGGAGAAGCUCCACCCGCUGGCUGAGUCUGGCACAUAAACCAGUCUGUGAGGGGAUGGAUGUGGGUGUAAUGGGGGCAAUUACAGUAGGAAGGAGCCCACGUGGAGCCUGCAUUCUCUGGGACAGGGCAUUACUGCAUUCUCUGGGACAGGCUAAGGCCCAGAUCCUACCUUCCCAGGUGGCUGGAUGGGUCAUAGAUGUAUGAACCGGUCCCCUCAUUUUCUGAUUGCCCUGUGCUUAACGUUUCUGUACCUUUACUGAGGCUCUUUCCUCCAACUCCAGUGCCCAGACCCCCCUUCUCCUGAACAUGAAUGCCUGUCCAUGGAAAUUCGAGUCUCUCUCUCUCACCCAGGCUGGAGUGCAGUGAUGCAAUCUCAACUCACUGCAACCUCUGCCUCCCAGGUUCAAGUGAUUCUUGUGCCUCAGCCUCUGGAGUAUCUAGGAUCACAGGUGCGUGCCACCAUGUCUGGCUAAUGUUUUGUAUUUAUAGUAGAGAUGGGUUUCGACAUAUUGGCCAGGCUGGUCUUGAUCUCCUGGCCUCAAAGUGAUCUACCCACCUGGGCCUCCCAAAUUGCUGGGAUUACAGUUGUGAGCCACCACACCCAGCCUGUCCCUGAAAUUCUAAUGAAAUGUGCGAUAAAGUUGUUUUGUUUUUCUUUUUGUUUUCCCUUCUUGGCAAAGCCUGGUGUUUCUAUUUUAGUGGAUUUGCCUGGCACUGAGGACUGCUAUGGUGGUCUUCAGAGGCUCCUGGUAUUGACUGCUUGUGAAACCGCUUUUGCAAAAUUAUGACUGAGACAGUGAAAGAGAUCUAACUUAACCGACCCAAUCUUGCUUCUAACCUCCAAAUUGUCCUUAUUCAUUCCUGAGCAUAGCCUGAACUAACUUUGGGAGAAGCUUAGUUUAUAUUUUAUUUUAUAGUUUAAAACAAAGAUGUUAACAGCCCUUUCCCAAGGCAGACUUCCUUCUUGCCUGGGGACUAGGUUGCCUUUGGAGGACUAACAUUAGCCACGAGAUUAGAAAUUAUGGGCUGGGCCUCGUGGCUCACCCCUGUAAUCCCAGCACUUUGGGAGGCCACGGCAGGUAGAUCACCUGAGGUCAGGAGUUCAAGACCAGCCUGGCCAACGUGGUGAAACCCCAUCUCUACUAAAGAAUACAAAAAUUAGCCGGUUAUGGUGGCACAUGCCUAUACUGCCAGCUACUUGGGAAGCUGAGGUGGGAGGAUCGCUUGAACCUGGGAGGCGGCGUGGAGGUUGCAGUGAGCCAGGAUCUUGCCACUGCACUCCAGCUUGGGCGACAGAGUGAGACUCUGUCUCAAAAAAAAAAAGUUUAGAAAUUAUGCUUUAGGAGUCAUGCAGCUGGAGGCUACAAGAUUCUGACCCUCCCUAAACUGCUCCUAAGAUCAGUGCUUGAGAUAUUUUGCAGACCCUGCACUUGAUGGAUCAGCUGGCACCACCCAGACUGAUUAACUGGCUCAUGUGAUCUUGUGGUCCCCACCCAGGAACUUAAUCAGCACAAGGAGACAGCUUCAACUCCCUAUGAUUUCAUCCCUGACCAAUCAGCACUCCUGGGCUCACUGGCUUCCCCCUACCCACCAAGUUGUCCUUAAAAAGUCUGCUCCCCAAAUGCUCGGGUAGACUGAUUUGGGUAAUAAUAAAACUCCGGUCUCCCACACAGCCA
Molecule: long non-coding RNA, 2451 nt
Filed under: Homo sapiens (human)
Lineage: Eukaryota; Metazoa; Chordata; Mammalia; Primates; Hominidae
Description: non-protein coding LINC00910:26
Source: RNAcentral